UGCCCGGUAGUGUAAUUGGCAACACAGCAGCUUUUGGAGCUGCCCUUCCUGGUUCGAGUCCAGGCCGGGCAG
RNAcentral lists this transfer RNA (72 nucleotides) under Candidatus Omnitrophota bacterium. RNAcentral's name for it is "tRNA-Gln". It matches the Rfam family "tRNA". Rfam says of the family: Transfer RNA (tRNA) molecules are approximately 80 nucleotides in length. Their secondary structure includes four short double-helical elements and three loops (D, anti-codon, and T loops). Further hydrogen bonds mediate the characteristic L-shaped molecular structure. tRNAs have two regions of fundamental functional importance: the anti-codon, which is responsible for specific mRNA codon recognition, and the 3' end, to which the tRNAs corresponding amino acid is attached (by aminoacyl-tRNA synthetases). tRNAs cope with the degeneracy of the genetic code in two manners: having more than one tRNA (with a specific anti-codon) for a particular amino acid; and 'wobble' base-pairing, i.e. permitting non-standard base-pairing at the 3rd anti-codon position. Lineage: Bacteria; Pseudomonadati; Candidatus Omnitrophota. The record is from RNAcentral.